GUGGCGAACGGGUGAGUAACACGUGGGUAAUCUGCCCUGCACUUCGGGAUAAGCCUGGGAAACUGGGUCUAAUACCGGAUAUUCAGCUUUCAUCGCAUGGUGGUGGUUGGAAAGUUUUCGGUGCAGGAUGAGCCCGCGGCCUAUCAGCUUGUUGGUGGGGUAAUGGCCUACCAAGGCGACGACGGGUAGCCGGCCUGAGAGGGUGAUCGGCCACACUGGGACUGAGACACGGCCCAGACUCCUACGGGAGGCAGCAGUG
RNAcentral lists this ribosomal RNA (259 nucleotides) under uncultured Dietzia sp. RNAcentral's name for it is "partial 16S ribosomal RNA". It matches the Rfam family "Bacterial small subunit ribosomal RNA", at positions 95 to 356 of the family's 1533-position model. Lineage: Bacteria; Bacillati; Actinomycetota; Actinomycetes; Mycobacteriales; Dietziaceae. The record is from RNAcentral.